RNAcentral lists this ribosomal RNA (229 nucleotides) under uncultured bacterium. Its description in RNAcentral is "partial 16S ribosomal RNA". It matches the Rfam family "Bacterial small subunit ribosomal RNA", at positions 568 to 796 of the family's 1533-position model. The record is from RNAcentral.
UGCGUAGGCGGAAUAUUAAGUCAGUGGUGAAAUCUUCCGGCUCAACCGGGAACCUGCCAUUGAUACUGUUAGUCUUGAGUUCGGCUGAGGUAGGCGGAAUGUGUAAUGUAGCGGUGAAAUGCUUAGAUAUUACACAGAACACCAAUUGCGUAGGCAGCUUACUAGACCGACACUGACGCUGAGGCACGAAAGCGUGGGGAGCGAACAGGAUUAGAUACCCUGGUAGUCC